AUCAUGGGGUCACUGUACACCUGGCUCUCCCCUCCACAGCUCGGAAUACCUGGCCAUCACCUCAGAAAGCAAAGAGAACUGUACGGGUGUCCAGGUGGCCGAAUAGCCCUGGCCCUGGGCUCCGCCUCAUGGAAGAGCCAGCCCUAGUGGGGAACCCCCAGGCACAGCCUGCCCCAACCCCGGGGGGGUUGGCCAUCCCUGGGCCUCCACACGCCUCAGAGUCCUGCCAUCGGAGCCGCAGGGGGGGUAGGGGGGCCAGGGGCUUGGCUCACACCCCUAACCCCGCCACCUUCCUCCUGCCCCUGUCGCCCACCCAGCACCAUGCAUGACGGGUAAAGCAAUACUGCCGCUGCCCCCACCCUGCUUCUGCUGCCUGUUUGGGGAGGGGGCGGUGAGGUGGGGGCAGCGGCUCCGCACCCCUCCUUCUUGCUGAUUUGCACACAUUGGCCGCUUCGGACACGCACUUGUGGGGCCAGCCCCUUCCUGCCCCAUCCCUGCCCAGCGGGGGGUUGUGAUCAGCUGGGGGUUUGGGGCAGGGGGUCUGGGACCCACUCCAGCCCCCAGCAUCAUCUCUCCUCCUGCUUCCUCCGGCUGGACCUGGGGUCCCUCUCCCUGUGAAGCACUCUUGCCUGGCCCCACCCCACUCCCUCUCACCAGCCUUGGAUUGUGGUGGCCACGUAGAAAGGGGCCCUUCGGCCUCGCCUCUUUACAGAAGUAGUUUUGUUCAUGAAAUAAAGAUUCUUGGACUUGA
Molecule: long non-coding RNA, 751 nt
Organism: Tupaia belangeri chinensis (Chinese tree shrew)
Lineage: Eukaryota; Metazoa; Chordata; Mammalia; Scandentia; Tupaiidae
Exons: 2
Source: RefSeq, a predicted model, not a curated record